RNAcentral lists this ribosomal RNA (479 nucleotides) under uncultured bacterium. Its description in RNAcentral is "partial 16S ribosomal RNA". It matches the Rfam family "Bacterial small subunit ribosomal RNA", at positions 28 to 507 of the family's 1533-position model. The record is from RNAcentral.
GACGAACGCUGGCGGCGUGCUUAACACAUGCCAGUCGAACGAAGCUUGAUUACGGAUUCUUCGGAUGAAGUAUGAUAUGACUGAGUGGCGGACGGGUGAGUAACGCGUGAGUAACCUGCCCUUCAGAGGGGGAUAGCGUUUGGAAACGAACGGUAAUACCGCAUAAUGUAUUUUGACCGCAUGAUCGAAAUACCAAAGAUUUAUCGCUGAAGGAUGGACUCGCGUCUGAUUAGGUAGUUGGUGGGGUAACGGCCUACCAAGCCGACGAUCAGUAGCCGGACUGAGAGGUUGAGCGGCCACAUUGGGACUGAGACACGGCCCAGAAUCCUACGGGAGGCAGCAGUGGGGAAUAUUGCACAAUGGGCGCAAGCCUGAUGCAGCAACGCCGCGUGAAGGAAGACGGUUUUCGGAGUGUAAACUUCUGUUCUUAGUGAAGAAUAAUGACGGUAGCUAAGGAGCAAGCCACGGCUAACUACGUG